GCGGCUGCACCACUGGGAUACCCUGAUCCAACAUCGAGGUCGUAAACCCACUUGUCGAUAAGGGCUCUUGAAGUGGAUUGCGCUGUUAUCCCUAGGGUAACUUGGUUCGUUGUUCAAAAUAUUGGGUCAAUUUAUGUUAAUUUGUUAGUGCUUAAAGUUGUGGCUUUUGGCUCAAGAAUAGUUCUAUUCAUUGUGGAGGCUAAUUUUUGCUCCGUGGUCACCCCAACCUAAAACUAAUAGUUAAAAGGCUAGAAUAAGUAUUAAUACCUCUCGAGGUAUGUAGGGAAAAAGCCAGUGCUAUUUAGUUUGAAGCUCCAUAGGGUCUUCUCGUCUAAUAUUAAGAUUCCCGCUUCUUCACGGGAAGAUCAGUUUCAUUGAUUGGAAAAAGGAGACAGUGGAACCCUCGUGAUGCCAUUCAUACUAGUCCUCAUUUAAAGAACAAGUGAUUACGCUACCUUUGCACGGUUAGGAUACCGCGGCCGUUAAACUAAGUCACUGGGCAGGCUAGACCUCUUAUAGGGCUCAAGAGGCGAUGUUUUUGGUAAACAGGCGGGGUUAAUAUUUGCCGAGUUCCUUCUUUUUCUUUUAAUCUUUCUUGAAAUGUACUGGUGUUAGGUUAACGCUAAAAAUAACAGGGUUUUCUAGUAGAAGUUGCUGUUUUAUAAUCAUGGGCGUUAAUUACCAGUGGGGGGGUCCUUUCUGGUUUAUAUAUACAUCUAAGAGAAGGUCUUUUUCUUAUUACUAGUUUUAACAUAAUGGCUUCUAUAGUGUUAUAGAAUAACUUAAUAUUGAUAAAGGG
RNAcentral lists this ribosomal RNA (799 nucleotides) under Dendropsophus sarayacuensis (Shreve's Sarayacu treefrog). RNAcentral's name for it is "partial 16S ribosomal RNA". Lineage: Eukaryota; Metazoa; Chordata; Amphibia; Anura; Hylidae. The record is from RNAcentral.